GGGUGAGUAACACGUGGGUAACCUGCCCAUAAGACUGGGAUAACAUCCGGGAAACCGGGGCUAAUACCGGAUAACAUUUUGAACCGCAUGGUUCGAAAUUGAAAGGCGGCUUCGGCUGUCACUUAUGGAUGGACCCGCGUCGCAUUAGCUAGUUGGUGAGGUAACGGCUCACCAAGGCAACGAUGCGUAGCCGACCUGAGAGGGUGAUCGGCCACACUGGGACUGAGACACGGCCCAGACUCCUACGGGAGGCAGCAGUAGGGAAUCUUCCGCAAUGGACGAAAGUCUGACGGAGCAACGCCGCGUGAGUGAUGAAGGCUUUCGGGUCGUAAAACUCUGUUGUUAGGGAAGAACAAGUGCUAGUUGAAUAAGCUGGCACCUUGACGGUACCUAACCAGAAAGCCACGGCUAACUACGUGCCAGCAGCCGCGGUAAUACGUAGGUGGCAAGCGUUAUCCGGAAUUAUUGGGCGUAAAGCGCGCGCAGGUGGUUUCUUAAGUCUGAUGUGAAAGCCCACGGCUCAACCGUGGAGGGUCAUUGGAAACUGGGAGACUUGAGUGCAGAAGAGGAAAGUGGAAUUCCAUGUGUAGCGGUGAAAUGCGUAGAGAUAUGGAGGAACACCAGUGGCGAAAGCGACUUUCUGGUCUGUAACUGACACUGAGGCGCGAAAGCGUGC
This 676-nucleotide ribosomal RNA is filed under the name Bacillus cereus. RNAcentral describes it as "bacterial SSU rRNA". It matches the Rfam family "Bacterial small subunit ribosomal RNA", at positions 104 to 764 of the family's 1533-position model. The record is from RNAcentral. Lineage: Bacteria; Bacillati; Bacillota; Bacilli; Caryophanales; Bacillaceae.